AUGUUGUGCUACAUACUGACUGCGCUUCUUUUCUUUUACAUAGUUGCUGUUGAUUCUGCAUUUGAGGAUAAUGAUGAUGCUGAAUACUUUCGUGUUUCUGUUUCAAGUAUGUUGAAAUUUUUAAUAAAUAUUUCCUAUUCAGAGCACCCUCCACUUCGUGGCUCCUUCAUUUAUACUAAUGAAGUACUUCUUGGUGCACAAUGUGAUGAGCAAUUGGCCUUGUAUGCUCUGAUUGCACGCGUAGCUGCUGACACCACCAUACCCUUGAGCAAUUGUUUUGUGAGUGAUUUGCAUGGCUAA
RNAcentral lists this ribosomal RNA (300 nucleotides) under Triticum aestivum (bread wheat). RNAcentral's name for it is "partial small subunit ribosomal RNA". The record is from RNAcentral. Lineage: Eukaryota; Viridiplantae; Streptophyta; Magnoliopsida; Poales; Poaceae.